GACGAACGCUGGCGGCGUGCUUAACACAUGCAAGUCGAACGGAAAGGCCAUGCUUUUGUGGGGUGCUCGAGUGGCGAACGGGUGCGUAACACGUGAGUAACCUGCCCUUGCCUUUGGGAUAACUUCAGGAAACUGGGGCAAAUACCGGCUAGGAGCUCCUGCUGCUUGUUGGGGGUUGGAAAGUUUAGGCGGUUGGGGAUGGACGCGCGGCCUAUCAGAUUGUUGGUGGGGUAGUGGCUUAGCAAGGAUUUGACGGGUCGCCGGACUGAGAGGGUGACACGCCACAUUGGGACUGAGAUACGGCCCAGAGGCCUACGGGAGGAAGCAGUGGGGAAUAUUGCGCAAUGGGCGGAGGCCUGAUGCAGCAACGCCGCGUGCGGGAUGACGGCCUUCGGGUUGUAAACCGUUUUAGCCUGUGACGAAGCGUGAGUGACGGUAAUGGGUAAAGAAGCACCGGCUAACUACGUG
This 468-nucleotide ribosomal RNA is filed under the name uncultured bacterium. RNAcentral describes it as "partial 16S ribosomal RNA". It matches the Rfam family "Bacterial small subunit ribosomal RNA", at positions 28 to 507 of the family's 1533-position model. The record is from RNAcentral.